UGGGGAAUAUUGGACAAUGGGCGAAAGCCUGAUCCAGCCAUGCCGCGUGAGUGAAGAAGGCCUUAGGGUUGUAAAGCUCUUUCACCUGCGGAGAUGAUGACGGUAGCAGGAGAAGAAGCCCCGGCUAACUCCGUGCCAGCAGCCGCGGUAAUACGGAGGGGGCUAGCGUUGUUCGGAAUUACUGGGCGUAAAGGGCGCGUAGGCGGUAUGUCAAGUCAGAGGUGAAAGGCCUGGGCUCAACCCAGGAAUUGCCUUUGAAACUGGCAAACUAGAGUCCGAAAGAGGAUGGCGGAAUUCCCAGUGUAGAGGUGAAAUUCGUAGAUAUUGGGAAGAACACCGGUGGCGAAGGCGGCCAUCUGGAUCGGCACUGACGCUGAGGCGCGAAAGCGUGGGGAGCAAACAGGAUUAGAUACCCUGGUAGUCCACGCCGUAAACGAUGUGUGCUAGACGUUAGGGUCUUAGACCCUGGGUGUCGAAGCUAACGCGUUAAGCACACCGCCGU
Molecule: ribosomal RNA, 502 nt
Filed under: uncultured Pseudomonadota bacterium
Lineage: Bacteria; Pseudomonadati; Pseudomonadota
Description: bacterial SSU rRNA
Rfam family: Bacterial small subunit ribosomal RNA
Source: RNAcentral